RNAcentral lists this ribosomal RNA (253 nucleotides) under uncultured bacterium. Its description in RNAcentral is "partial 16S ribosomal RNA". It matches the Rfam family "Bacterial small subunit ribosomal RNA", at positions 524 to 776 of the family's 1533-position model. The record is from RNAcentral.
UACGUAGGGGGCAAGCGUUGUCCGGAUUUAUUGGGCGUAAAGAGCGUGUAGGCGGUUUGGUAGGUCCGCUGUGAAAACUCGAGGCUCAACCUCGAGACGCCGGUGGAAACCGUAAAGCUAGAGUCCGGAAGAGGAGAGUGGAAUUCCUGGUGUAGCGGUGAAAUGCGCAGAUAUCAGGAGGAACACCCGUGGCGAAAGCGGCUCUCUGGGACGGUACUGACGCUGAGACGCGAAAGCGUGGGGAGCAAACAGG